AGGGCUUGGGGUCGCGG
This 17-nucleotide unclassified non-coding RNA is filed under the name Mus musculus (house mouse). RNAcentral's name for it is "oocyte_clustered_small_RNA14303". The record is from RNAcentral. Lineage: Eukaryota; Metazoa; Chordata; Mammalia; Rodentia; Muridae.